CAGAGACUGCAAGCGUUAUUCGGAUUCACUGGGCGUAAAGGGUGCGCAGGCGGCCGGGUGUGUGAGGCGUGAAAGCCCGAUGCUUAACAUCGGAAUUGCACCUCAAACUACACGGCUAGAGCAUUGGAGAGGGUAGCGGAAUUCACGGUGUAGCAGUGAAAUGCGUAGAUAUCGUGAGGAACACCAGAGGCGAAGGCGGCUACCUGGACAAUUGCUGACGCUCAGGCACGAAAGCGUGGGGAGCAAAAGGGAUUAGAUACCCCUGUAGUCCACGCCCUAAACGGUGCACACUAGGUCUUGGCGGAUUCGACCCCACCAGGGCCCAAGCUAACGCGUUAAGUGUGCCGCCUGAGGACUACGGUCGCAAGACUA
Molecule: ribosomal RNA, 372 nt
Filed under: uncultured organism
Description: bacterial SSU rRNA
Rfam family: Bacterial small subunit ribosomal RNA
Source: RNAcentral